Molecule: small RNA, 472 nt
Filed under: Pongo abelii (Sumatran orangutan)
Lineage: Eukaryota; Metazoa; Chordata; Mammalia; Primates; Hominidae
Description: processed transcript
Source: RNAcentral
CAGGGACUCGGCCAGAGAAACGGGCCGAAAUUACUGCCAGACACAUCCGACCUUAGUUAAGGCCCCUCAGCCUGAACAGGCGGCAGAAUGAUAUUUUAUCUAUUCAGACUCGGAUUGCUAACGAAAAGUACCUAAGGACCAACAAAGAAGUAGAGUGGCUCAUAAGUGGUUUCUUCAGAGAAAUAUUUUUGAAAAGACCAGACGACAUCCUAAAAUGUGCUGCAGACUACUUCACGGAUCCAAGACUUCCCAACAAGAUUCACAUGCAGCUAAUUAAAGACAAGAAAGCGGCUUAAUUAGCAAAAUCAUGAUGCUCAGCUGUUGGGAGAGACCAGACAGAAUCCAGCCUCAGGGGUCGUCUGGAGGCAUGAGAGCCCUACUGCCAUCAGUGUGGGUUUCCAAGCUGCCUUGGGCUCUGUCUACUGUCGCAAAAGCUUUUAAAGAUAUUCAUUAAACAUGGACCUUCCUGCUC